CAGCCGCCGCGGUAACACGGAGGGAGCUAGCGUUGUUCGGAAUUACUGGGCGUAAAGCGCGCGUAGGCGGUUACUCAAGUCAGAGGUGAAAGCCCGGGGCUCAACCCCGGAACUGCCUUUGAAACUAGGUGACUAGAAUCUUGGAGAGGUCAGUGGAAUUCCGAGUGUAGAGGUGAAAUUCGUAGAUAUUCGGAAGAACACCAGUGGCGAAGGCGACUGACUGGACAAGUAUUGACGCUGAGGUGCGAAAGCGUGGGGAGCAAACAGGAUUAGAUACCCCUGUAGUCCCUGUCUCUUAUAC
This 301-nucleotide ribosomal RNA is filed under the name uncultured bacterium. RNAcentral's name for it is "partial 16S ribosomal RNA". It matches the Rfam family "Bacterial small subunit ribosomal RNA", at positions 509 to 807 of the family's 1533-position model. The record is from RNAcentral.